Molecule: ribosomal RNA, 402 nt
Filed under: bacterium
Lineage: Bacteria
Description: partial 16S ribosomal RNA
Rfam family: Bacterial small subunit ribosomal RNA
Source: RNAcentral
UGGGGAAUUUUGCACAAUGGGGGAAACCCUGAUGCAGCGACGCCGCGUGAUUUAGAAGGCCUUCGGGUUGUAAAAAUCUUUUCUAUGGGAAGAAAAUGACAGUACCAUAGGAAUAAGGACCGGCUAAUUACGUGCCAGCAGCCGCGGUACUACGUAAGGUCCGAGCGUUGUCCGGAAUCAUUGGGCGUAAAGGGUACGUAGGCGGGUAAGCAAGUUAGAAGUGAAAUCCUAUAGCUCAACUAUAGUAAGCUUUUAAAACUGCUCAUCUUGAGGUAUGGAAGGGAAAGUGGAAUUCCUAGUGUAGCGGUGAAAUGCGCAGAUAUUAGGAGGAAUACCGGUGGCGAAGGCGACUUUCUGGCCAUAACCUGACGCUGAGGUACGAAAGCGUGGGUAGCAAACAGG